This 494-nucleotide ribosomal RNA is filed under the name uncultured bacterium. RNAcentral's name for it is "partial 16S ribosomal RNA". It matches the Rfam family "Bacterial small subunit ribosomal RNA", at positions 28 to 523 of the family's 1533-position model. The record is from RNAcentral.
GAUGAACGCUAGCGGCAGGCUUAACACAUGCAAGUCGAGGGGUAUAGGUUUUCGGACCUAGAGACCGGCGCACGGGUGCGUAACGCGUAUGCAAUCUACCUUUCACAGAGGGAUAGCCCAGAGAAAUGUGGAUUAAUAGCUCAUAGUAUUAUGAAGUGCCAUCAUUUUACAAUUAAAGUUCCAACGUUGAAAGAUGAGCAUGCGUCCCAUUAGCUAGAUGGUAAGGUAACGGCUUACCAUGGCGACGAUGGGUAGGGGUACUGAGAGGGAGAUCCCCCACACUGGUACUGAGACACGGACCAGACUCCUACGGGAGGCAGCAGUGAGUAAUAUUGGUCAAUGGACGCAAGUCUGAACCAGCCAUGCCGCGUGCAGGAUGACGGUCCUAUGGAUUGUAAACUGCUUUUGUACGAGAAUAAACACUCCUUCGUGAAGGAGCUUGACGGUAUCGUAAGAAUAAGGAUCGGCUAACUCCGUGCCAGCAGCCGCAGUAA